Non-coding RNA from Coffea arabica (coffee), 2069 nucleotides. Lineage: Eukaryota; Viridiplantae; Streptophyta; Magnoliopsida; Gentianales; Rubiaceae. The record is from RefSeq and is a predicted model, not a curated record.
AACCCUUCUGAUAGAGAUCAAGGAAAACCAUCAAGUGCUCUAGAGAACGCCUUUCCCCUUUUGCAAGUCCUCUUCUCCGUGUUCUCCUGCUGCAUGCAUUCAUUACUCCUCUGCUUUUAUUUUCUGCAUCCACAGCUCGCUGCUCUAUCCUGCUACCUUUGUUAUUGCUUUGCAUAAGUUCAUAUCUAGGUUCUACCUCCUUUAUGCUAAAUCUUUGUUUUUUGCCCUUAUUUAUGCUGUGAGCUCUAAACUAUAUUUGUUAUUGUCAUGCUUAGUGUUAGCUUUGAAUAUUCAGUGUAUAGUGUCUUCAAGUGAUGUGCUUGCACAUUUAACGAAUAAGAAGAUUCUUUGCAACCGAAAAUUAAGAGGAAAACUGCUUCCUUAUCAGUAGAAGAAAAAGAAGCUAAACAGAGGGGAGCUUAUCAAAAGAGGAAAGCAAGGAAAGCUGCAUCGACGCCUUCUAUGAACCAACAACAAAGUAAGAAGGGUAUCUAAUUCAGUUUUGCCGGAAAUGAAAGCUGUAGUAUGAAUGUUUAGUGCUUCGCCUUUAUAUUGAUUUCUUGAGAUUUCUGCUUAACUAGCUUAAUGGUGAUUAAAGCUCUUUAUGUGUAAAUUCAGAGCAAACUUCUGUAAGAAAUAUAUACAAAUGGAGAAGAGCAUAAAUGUUUAGUAUUUUGCCUUUAUCUGAAGGUCUUGAGUUUACUGCUUCGCUGCCUUAAUACUGGAUUAAAAGAAAUCUUUAUGUGUCAAUUCAAAACAAAAUCUGUGAGAGAUGCAUACGAAUGGAGAAGAGCUUCCAGUUAUUGUGGAAAGUCCGCACCAAUAAUGCCUAGAUAUGCCUUGCGCUUGAAAUAACUGCGAUAUGUUUUAUACUUGUUCCUGCUUAGUUGUUGUCUCUUAGUCUUGUGUUACUUUGAGAGUUCAUGUUUUCUUCUAUUGAUUUCUGGUUACAUAUUUAUAACUGCAUUCUGUAAUUCAAUUUGGGCUUAAAGAUACGGCAUCCAGGCUUUCUACAAGCUAUGUAAUCCUAAAUUCUAUCUUAAAUCACAUGUGUCCAAACAUCUGAGACGUUACCAUGUCUACAUCUUCCUUGCCAGCUACCACUCCUUUACUUACACAAGCUUCUGAAGCCACUAGCCCUUCUGAGCCAAUUUCUAUCUAUUACCACAUACUUGCCAACCUUUCAUCUUCUCCAGAGGCCUUAACAAUAAAGGAGCAGCCCAUCUCCAAUCUCACUGAUUUGCUUAGACAGGAAAAUAAGGCAAAAAAACUUAAUAACCUUCUGACACAACUUCAGCCCUUCUUUUCCUUGAUCCCCAAAGCAAAAAGUCCAAAAUUGUUCGUGGAAUUCUUGAUACGCUGGCCAAACUACCUGGCACAUCUAAUCUUCAGAUUGCCCUAUGCAAGAAAAUUGUACAAUGGACGCGUAAUGAGAACCAAAAUUUCCUUUGUCUGUGCACUGAGGCAAAACUCGCAGCUCUUUUGAUGGAGAACAAAGAGUAUUCUGAAGCUUUGGCUCUCCUUUCUGGACCAAUCAAUGACGCGAGAAGAUUAGAUAACAAGUUGCUUCUUGGAGACAUUCACUUGCUAGAAAGGAAGCUUCAUUUCUCUUUCAAGAAUCUACCUAAAGCCAAAGCUGCACUUACAGCUGCAAGAACAGGCUCUUAUUAUGUUUUCAGUUACACAGUUGCUCGAGUAGUUCUGUAUUUCGCCAGGAGUGUCCAACUAUUUCGCCGUGGUUGAUCUCAAAAGGUUUCAAGGUUGAAAAUGGCCUAACAAGAAAAGGAAGCUUGCCCAUUGAAAAGCAUCCUGUUGAAUAACUUAUGCCUUGUAGACAUUUCCUAUCAGCUUAGCAUUGAGUUGAGCUUAUGCUUCAUUUAGGAUGCAGAUAAUGUGAAAUCUAGAAUUGAUGGGGAUUAUUUAUUUAAAUAGCACAAUAUGCAUAAAAUAACAAUUUUCAAGUUGUAUCAGUCCAGUACAAGUGUAGCUUAUACUUUUACAAAUGUCCUUACAGUAUGUUCAAGAAGCAGAGAAUAAUAAAUAUCCUAAUAGUAAAUCUAUAUUACUAA